GGAGUUAGCCGGUGCUUCUUCUGUGAGUGAUGUCCUUCCUGCCGGUUAUUGACCCGCAGGCCUUCUUCCUCACUGAAAGUGCUUUACAACCCGAAGGCCUUCUUCACACACGCGGCAUGGCUGGAUCAGGGUUGCCCCCAUUGUCCAAUAUUCCCCACUGCUGCCUCCCGUAGGAGUCUGGGCCGUGUCUCAGUCCCAGUGUGGCUGAUCAUCCUCUCAGACCAGCUACGGAUCGUCGCCUUGGUGAGCCGUUACCUCACCAACCAGCUAAUCCGACAUAGGCUCAUCCGAUAGCGCGAGGCCCGAAGGUCCCCCGCUUUCCCCCGUAGGGCCGUAUGCGGUAUUAGCCUGGGUUUCCCCAGGUUAUCCCCCACUACCGGGCAGAUUCCUAUGCAUUACUCACCCGUCCGCCGCUCGCCACCAGGGAGCAAGCUCCCCGUGCUGCCGCUCGACUUGCAUGUGUUAGGCCUGCCGCCAGCGUUCAAUCUGAGCCAGAAUCAAACUCUGA
This 508-nucleotide ribosomal RNA is filed under the name uncultured bacterium. Its description in RNAcentral is "partial 16S ribosomal RNA". The record is from RNAcentral.